This 492-nucleotide ribosomal RNA is filed under the name uncultured bacterium. Its description in RNAcentral is "partial 16S ribosomal RNA". It matches the Rfam family "Bacterial small subunit ribosomal RNA", at positions 29 to 507 of the family's 1533-position model. The record is from RNAcentral.
AGUGAACGCUGGCGGUAGGCCUAACACUUGCAAGUCGAACGGCAGCACAGUAAGAGCUUGCUCCUACGGGUGGCGAGUGGCGGACGGGUGAGGAAUACAUCGGAAUCUACUUUUUCGUGGGGGAUAACGUAGGGAAACUUACGCUAAUACCGCAUACGACCUACGGGUGAAAGCAGGGGAUCUUCGGACCUUGCGCGAUUGAAUGAGCCGAUGUCGGAUUAGCUAGUUGGCGGGGUAAAGGCCCACCAAGGCGACGAUCCGUAGCUGGUCUGAGAGGAUGAUCAGCCACACUGGAACUGAGACACGGUCCAGACUCCUACGGGAGGCAGCAGUGGGGAUUAUUGGACAAUGGGCGCAAGCCUGAUCCAGCCAUACCGCGUGGGUGAAGAAGGCCUUCGGGUUGUAAAGCCCUUUUGUUGGGAAAGAAAAGCAGCAGGUUAAUACCCCGCUGUUCUGACGGUACCCAAAGAAUAAGCACCGGCUAACUUCGUG